RNAcentral lists this ribosomal RNA (467 nucleotides) under uncultured bacterium. Its description in RNAcentral is "partial 16S ribosomal RNA". It matches the Rfam family "Bacterial small subunit ribosomal RNA", at positions 29 to 507 of the family's 1533-position model. The record is from RNAcentral.
ACGCACGCUGGCGGCGUGCUUCACACCUGCCAGUCGCACGGAAAGGCCCUGCUUUUGUGGGGUGCUCGAGUGGCGAACGGGUGAGUAACACGUGAGUAACCUGCCCUUGACUUUGGGAUAACUUCAGGAAACUGGGGCUAAUACCGGAUAGGAGCUCCUGCUGCAUGGUGGGGGUUGGAAAGUUUCGGCGGUUGGGGAUGGACUCGCGGCUUAUCAGCUUGUUGGUGGGGUAGUGGCUUACCAAGGCUUUGACGGGUAGCCGGCCUGAGAGGGUGACCGGCCACAUUGGGACUGAGAUACGGCCCAGACUCCUACGGGAGGCAGCAGUGGGGAAUAUUGCACAGUGGGCGGAAGCCUGAUGCAGCAACGCCGCGUGCGGGAUGACGUCCUGCGGGUUGUAAACCGCUUUCGCCUGAGACGAAGCGUGAGUGACGGUAAUGGGUAAAGAAGCACCGGCUAACUACGGG